GGGGAUAUAGCUCAGCUGGUAGAGCAUCUGCUUUGCAAGCAGAGGGUCAGCGGUUCGAGUCCGCUUAUCUCCACCA
This 76-nucleotide transfer RNA is filed under the name Rickettsiales bacterium. RNAcentral's name for it is "tRNA-Ala". It matches the Rfam family "tRNA". Rfam says of the family: Transfer RNA (tRNA) molecules are approximately 80 nucleotides in length. Their secondary structure includes four short double-helical elements and three loops (D, anti-codon, and T loops). Lineage: Bacteria; Pseudomonadati; Pseudomonadota; Alphaproteobacteria; Rickettsiales. The record is from RNAcentral.